Long non-coding RNA from Pangasianodon hypophthalmus (striped catfish), 5989 nucleotides. RefSeq lists it as uncharacterized. The transcript is spliced from 3 exons. The record is from RefSeq and is a predicted model, not a curated record. Lineage: Eukaryota; Metazoa; Chordata; Actinopteri; Siluriformes; Pangasiidae.
AAAAAGAAAAGAAGCAGCCUUGCUGUUCCAAUACUUUCGGAGGGGGCUGUAGUUAUGGGAGUGAGGAAUUUAAGAGGAAUGUAACACCAACAAAUCCUGAGAGUUUAAAGUGAUAACCACUGCAGUGGAUAUAAGCAAAAGGAAAAGGUUUCUAAGCGAUACUUUGGAUGCCUAACACUUUGAAGGUUCUGAUUGGAAACCUUUGAAAGGAGAAACCCCAGUGCUGGAUUCUGCCCAGAACCUUUAAAGAUUCAUCUGAAGGGACGAACCACCUCUGAGCUCUGAGGAAGCUGAUAAUCAGUGUGUGAUAUGCAUCUUUACUGUACUAAACACCCUGAGAAACUCAGAAAGACAGUUCCAGUGGAGUGGGUGUAGCCUAAAUCGCUUAUUUAAAGCACAGCCCAGUGAAUUUAUGCUGAUAGAAAUGGGGUGGAGAGAGAGAGCUGUCAGCUGCGAACAUCUUAAUCAAACCUCCGACUACAUUCCUCGGUUCUGAAGGCACAAACCUUAAACAGAUUCGGUUCAUUUACAGGCGACCCUCUGCCUCUAACCUGAGGUCAGCACUGGUGUAAUGUAAACAAUGCGAGACGAGGUAGUUCAGGCACGGCCCCGAAAUGCAGCUGGAAUCUGGAAGCGUGAACAAGCAAGCAGCCGACAUUGCAGACUGACACAUCGGGGUGCGCGCGAGAGCAGCGCGAGAGCAGCGCGAGCUCCACACGGCUGAUAAAGCGGGACCGAGAGGGCGGCAGAUGGCCAGCGCGAGGGGAUGAGAUCACUCACAGAAGUAGACUUUUUCUGUAAUCCGGUGGGCCGUGUAACGGCAAGCGCGCGUGUACUUUAGUAUUAAACCGCCUCUUUGUCCUCUUUGUGUGGUUUUAGCGAAGCAGAAGUGAAGCGAGGAGAGAGAGCUCGGAACUGUUAGCGCACAACCGGGGACGAGGCUGGGACUCCGGACACGCAGGGAAGAAAUUCAGUUUGGAGACAUGGCCUUUUCCUCCUCAAUGAAUGACCUUCUCCUCACCCAGCCAUUCAGAAAAAAAGUGACAGUAAAAGACAGCUCCCGGGAUAGGACAGAUCAAAAUGAAGACCCGCCCCUCCACCCUUACUGCUCCCGCCUCUCUUUUAAAAGGUCCACCUGGCAGCAUGUGACCCAAUUACAGCACGGGAGAUAAAAAGGGCACAGUGUACAGUGAAAAUUCUGAACCAGCCACACAGAGACUGAAAAAGUGUUAUGGGAAAUAAUGAAUAGGAGAAAGUAUUUCAAGAAAGACUGACAGAUUUCUUGAGACAGUUCCACAUAAUUGUCACCUGUUCUCAAGGUGAUGGGUAAAUUCCUGCGCUCUUUAAGAAACUGAGACUGUGGAAGUGAGGUCGCUGGAAUCACAGGGAGAAGAGAAAUCAGACAGAGUAAGUAGAGAAUUUAACUGGGGAAAUGACUGAGGAGGGGUUAUGGACAUGUAUUGCAUGCCAUGUCACGAUUGCGAAAUUGCUUGCCAGGUUAUGACAGCCAAGUGAGGAAUAGGUUUGUGGGUAGUGUGUGUGUGUGUGUGUGUUGGUGGGGGAACAGCUUCUGUAAAAGGAGAAAUUGAAGAGAGGAAGACAGAGGCAGGACGGCUUCCUCUACACAUCCUCAUCACUGAUGCCAUUUCAUCUCUACUUUCCUUCAUGCAUAAAAGGCAGGUUUUUAUUCUUACAUGUUUUCAAGCUGAUGGCCUUUUUCAAGAUGUGCCUUGGUCUCAACUUGGACUUUAUUCAAAUUCCAUUUCAUCUCUUGGGGGUAACCUUAUAAUUACAUUACAAAUUCUGCCUCUGCCAUAUUAUGUUCGUUAGUUCAAAGGUACUGAGGUGUAUAAAGAGGUACAACAAACUGAAGUAGAAUCUUUACUGAGGCACUUCUAUAACAAGGUAGUGCUGGAUAAUUAAUUAUAAUAUCAUUUGUGUGUAUUUGCCAGUCAGUGAGUGCUUCCAUUCUACCAAAUGAGAUCAAAUUUUUAACAGUUGAAAUUGUAGCAACCGACACUUUUGCUCAUAUUAAAGGAUUUCAUUUAAAUGGAACAUUUGUUUCAGCUAAUGUGAUGUUCAUUAUUAGUACAAAUAAUGAAUUUCAUUAUGUGAUUUAUGCAUAUCUGUGUCUCAGAAGAUCUGAUACCACUGCAUGCUGUCCUUGUUCCUCAUGAAAUGGUGAGUAUCUGCCAACCCACAGCACCAGCAGCUGUGUGAGUCAGUGUGUGAGAGAGAUAAAGAAGGACAGAGGGAGGGAGUAAAUGAAGCCAUGUGGGUGAAGGGUAAAGUUUGAUUUUAUGAAUGAACUAUACUGGUUAGUCAUGUAGGUCAGCCUGUGUGUAGUGAAAUGUUGCACCUUGCUAUUGGUGUGGAUAUGAUUUAUUUCUUAUAUGAUCUUAUAGAUUGUCAAUAACUCAUUCAUUCUAGAUUUGUGUUUAUACUUUGAACAGAACUAUUAUUUUUUAAUAGGCAAAAUGGUCUAGAUUAGGUCAAGCACUGAAGGAAACACAAGCUAAAUCAGUCUACAAGGCCACCUGUCACAUGUGUGUGUGUGUGUGUGUUUGUGGUGGAAGAUCUCUAAGUGCAGACUUUACUCUCAUUCACCUCUGAAGCACAUCCAAUUUGCUCUUCUUUACUGUCCUCUCAAAUUUCUAUAGCUUGGAGUUCAGAGGCAUGUCACUUGGAGGUGGGGCAGAUAGUAAAGCCAGAGCCUGGGGAGAGGAAACAGGGCAGUGGGGAGAGAGAAAGAGGCAAAUGUAUGAGUAACAGAAAAGUAAAGACAAGAGAGGGAUUGAUAUGGACUGUGUGGUCGAGAUAAGAAUUCCCAUGUAUAAGGUAUAUCCAUGCCUGUCUGUGUGUCCUCUCAGUUUCCACUGUCUGUGACGUUCCCAAUGCAUGUCAGCUGUGGAGCAAAGAAAAACCCAUAUAGCCAUUUGUCUCCUGCAGUUCCAGUAUCAGUAUAAAUAUAAUAUUAUAGGAUCCAGUAUAAUAUAAUAUGGUUUUGAUACAAUGAGUACACAAGCAUUUUGAGCAAAAAAAAAAAACAUUUUUGAGAAUAAAGUCAUUAUUUUGAGAAAAAAGUCAUAAAACAUAAAACAACGAAAAUAAUGUUACUUUACAAAUAAAGAAAUACUUAAUCUUCUGGCACAUCUACACGAGAUAAUUAUUAGUACUGGAACUUUGAAACAACCGUGGAAGAAUUUGCACUUGUUUAGAAGAACGAACCACAUAAACGUGAAGUAAAUUGUCUUUGUUGAAAGAGAAAUUGAAGACAGUGGUCACCUAGAAGGCUAUCCAUGGUUACAUCUGUGGCAUAACAGAUAACUCCAGCAUGCUCAGUACAGCAAUCAAGUCCCCGAAGCGUUAUGGCAUAUUGACUUGCCAUUAGGCUUCAGUGUAUCGUAGUCCAUAUGCCAUUACUCAUUAAGGACUUGGAGCAUGCCAGAGUUCCACUCCUUCCAUAUCGAUCAUUUUGAAUUUCAUUAAUCUACAGAUGGGGUCAUAAGUUUACAUACGCCUUGUGGAAUCUGCAAAAUGUUAACAUAUAUAUAAAUUUUUUUUAAAUGACGGAUCAUAAAAAUUGCGUUUUUUUUUUAUUUGGUCCUGCUCUGAAAUAAGCUAUUUAACAUAACAGAUGUUUACACAUAGUCCACAAGACAAAAAUAACGGAAUUUACACAUAUGAACCAGUUCACAAGUUUAUAUACGCUUGAUUCUUAAUACUGUGUGUGUUACCUGGAUGAUCAACGACUGUUUUUAUGUUUUGUGAUAGUUGUUCAUGAGUCCCUUGUUUGUCCUGCCCACUGUUUUUAAGAAAAAUCCUCCAGGGACUGCAAAUUAUUUGCUUUUCCAGCAUCUUCUGCAUAUUCGACCCCUUUCCAACAGCGGCUGUAUGAUUUUGAGAUCCAGCUUUUCACACUGAGGACAAUUGAGAAACUCAUACACAGCUAUUACAAAAGGUGCAAACAUUCACUGAUGCUCAAGAAGGCAACACACUACAUUAAGAGCCAGGGGGAUGUAAACUUUUGAACAGGGUGAUCGGUGUAAAUUGUUAUUUUAUUUAAAUAUCUUUGCCAUUCUGAAGCUGCGUAAGAUAAGUGUAAAUACGUUUCCCAGAAGAUAUAAUAAUAACAAUUAGACGUAUGUAAACUUACGCCCCCAGAUGUACACACCUUCUUUGAAUGGCACGCAGGUGUAACCACUGAUGGCCUUGAAGGCAACCUUCAACAAAAGAAGCAAUAAUUUCACCAAAUCCUCAGUGGUCUACAUUUUAAACAUAUGAAUGUGAUAUGUACCAUUUUGUCAUAUUAUUUUAUUCUCUAAUUAUCACAACUUUUUUUUUUUUUUUUUAAAUCAUGAAAUAUCAUGACUUUAUUCUCGAAAUCUUGUAUUUUACAUUUACACAGUGGCCCUAAAACACCGUCAUAAAUGAGAGAGGUCUGUUUGAAAAACACACUUGAAAAUCUUGGCUGAAGAGUUACACAUGAUUGUUUUUCCUACAUACACCAGAUCCCUUCAUCACGCUGACUUCCUCAGCCUUGGGCCUUUUUUUGCUGAUUCAUGGAAAAACUCGAUGUGUCAUGUGUCGUCACACAGCCAGUGACAUCACGGAAACAGGCGAUGCAGUAAAGCAGCAGUGGAAAACGGGAACACAGCAACCUUCAGUGCAGGAGACGGAAAAAGGGAGUGAGAAAGGCAGAGAGAGAUAGGGAGAAAGAGAACAAGUGGGAGAAAUGGUAGAGCAUAAAUGAAAUCUCAGUAGAUGGUAUGCCCUUAAUUACAAAGUUGAUAACAUUGUCCUGUUGUAUACCCUUACAGAUCCUAUUUUUCUACUGCUCCCUAUAAGCCAGUUGUAGAAAAUGAUCAAUAAAAUGUGUUAUGAUGCGAGUCUGUCCAAGUCGAAGAACCAUUUUUCAAACCCGAGUGAGAUGAGUCAGCUCCGCUAAUCUGAACAGGGUUAAAAAUGUAUGUAAACUCCUGUUUAAUUUUCCACUGGCUGGACCUAAGGCCAGCAUAUAUCUGCUGGAUCUCCUUUUUCCAUGUCACAUCAGCCUGCCGCACUGAAGAUACAGCUGCACACUAACGCUAUACAGAGGAUAAGCCAUUCUGUCUUUUCUGCAAGAACACGCAACUAAUCAGCAUGCAACCUUACAUGAUCAUUCAUCAUCAUGUUAUUGCAGCAGAAUAUUACAUAUACUGCUGUUACUGAGAGCCAACCUACAAGAAAGAUCUGCUGCAUGGAAUACUGUGAAUUCUAAAAAAAAAAAACAGAAAUCACCAUAAAAUUUCUGAAUAAAGUGCUGAAUAAUGAAAGUCUCCAAUUACUCCAUAAGCUAAAUAGCUGACCAUAUGCCAGUUUAACUUUUUCACCGUUGUAACUACACUGUUGUCACUGUAAUACUGUAAUGAUUACGGUUAGACGGUUGCUCAGGAGCCCCUCAGUUGCUCAGUAGUCAGUGUAGGUCCUGUCUGCCUGUCAGCAGCUACAUCUGGCUACUGGGUCUCUAAUGGGCUUCAUUCAUUCAAUCUUCUGACAAAUGUACAGCAUCUCCAAGACCCAAACACAAGUUUCAUAAUCCACUGAAAGGUAGCAGCUUCUAUCUGUCACUUUGAACGAUUUGAGUGAUAAAGGAAGAGUGAGAAAGGAAGCAUUAUGUAAGAAAACUGGCUUUUAAAUUCAAUGAUGUGUAGCAUGUGGUUUAUGGGAUACUUGCACGGCACUAAUAAAACACAAAGAUCGAUGUUGCAAAUGAGUCUGUGAGAGUUAAAGCAAUAAAAAAAAGAAAUAAUUCAUUCAGAGAUGGUUUUGUACCUGGCAUGCAGUGUAGAUAUCUGUGUUGGUGAGCCUACAGCUACAUUGUCUGCUGGGUUUCAGAUCCAUCUUGUAAGCAUCUUGUGAAAUCAUGUUUGGUGCAUGAGUACAGCUCAGAAAUGUACAUUUCUUCUUGAACAUAUGUUGAAGUAUUUGAAUAAACUAAUUCCUUUAA